UACGUAGGGUGCGAGCGUUGUCCGGAAUUAUUGGGCGUAAAGAGCUCGUAGGCGGUUUGUUGCGUCGGCUGUGAAAUCCCGAGGCUCAACCUCGGGUCUGCAGUCGAUACGAGCAAACUAGAGUGUUGCAGGGGAGACUGGAAUUCCUGGUGUAGCGGUGAAAUGCGCAGAUAUCAGGAGGAACACCGGUGGCGAAGGCGGGUCUCUGGGCAACAACUGACGCUGAGGAGCGAAAGCUAGGGGAGCAAACGGG
Molecule: ribosomal RNA, 253 nt
Filed under: uncultured bacterium
Lineage: Bacteria
Description: partial 16S ribosomal RNA
Rfam family: Bacterial small subunit ribosomal RNA
Source: RNAcentral